CGUGUAGGCUGCUUGGAAAGUCGGAUGUGAAAGCCCUGGGCUCAACCUAGGAAGAGCAUUCGAAACUUCCAAGCUUGAGUUUCGGAGAGGAAGGCGGAAUUCUCGGUGUAGAGGUGAAAUUCGUAGAUAUCGAGAGGAACAUCGGUGGCGAAGGCGGCCUUCUGGACGAUGACUGACGCUGAGACGCGAAAGCGUGGGGAGCAAACA
RNAcentral lists this ribosomal RNA (207 nucleotides) under uncultured delta proteobacterium. RNAcentral describes it as "partial 16S ribosomal RNA". It matches the Rfam family "Bacterial small subunit ribosomal RNA", at positions 568 to 774 of the family's 1533-position model. The record is from RNAcentral. Lineage: Bacteria; Deltaproteobacteria.